RNAcentral lists this ribosomal RNA (525 nucleotides) under uncultured Sideroxydans sp. RNAcentral describes it as "partial 16S ribosomal RNA". It matches the Rfam family "Bacterial small subunit ribosomal RNA", at positions 9 to 527 of the family's 1533-position model. The record is from RNAcentral. Lineage: Bacteria; Pseudomonadati; Pseudomonadota; Betaproteobacteria; Nitrosomonadales; Gallionellaceae.
GAGUUUGAUCCUGGCUCAGAUYGAACGCUGGCGGCAYGCUUUMCACAYGCAAGUCGAACGGCAGCACGGGGGCAACCCUGGUGGCGAGUGGCGAACGGGUGAGUAAUAUAUCGGAACAUGUCCGGAAGUGGGGGAUAACSKWMCSRAARGKWMCGCUAAUACCGCAUAUGCCCUGAGGGGGAAAGGAGGGGAUUCGCAAGAACCUUUCGCUUUCGGAGUGGCCGAUACCGGAUUAGCUAGUUGGUGGGGUAAAGGCUCACCAAGGCGACGAUCCGUAGCUGGUCUGAGAGGACGACCAGCCACACUGGAACUGAGACACGGUCCAGACUCCUACGGGAGGCAGCAGUGGGGAAUUUGGACAAUGGGGGAAACCCUGAUCCAGCCAUGCCGCGUGAGUGAAGAAGGCCUUCGGGUUGUAAAGCUCUUUCAGACGGAAAGAAACGGUCGCAACUAAUACUUGCGGCUAAUGACGGUACCGUAAGAAGAAGCACCGGCUAACUACGUGCCAGCCGCCGCGGUAAUUCA